Molecule: ribosomal RNA, 321 nt
Filed under: uncultured microorganism
Description: bacterial SSU rRNA
Rfam family: Bacterial small subunit ribosomal RNA
Source: RNAcentral
GUGCAGCAGGCGCGAAUCUUCCACAAUGGACGAAAGUCUGAUGGAGCGACGCCGCGUGCGGGAUGAAGGCCUUAUGGGUUGUAAACCGCUGUCAGGGGGGAAGAACAUCGGAAUGAACAAUACUCAUUCCGACUGACGUUACCCCCAGAGGAAGCUCCGGCAACUCCGUGCCAGCAGCCGCGGUAAUACGGGGGAGCAAGCGUUGUCCGGAAUUAUUGGGCGUAAAGGGCGUGUAGGCGGCGAGGUAAGUCGAAUGUGAAAUCUCACGGCUCAACCGUGAAACUGCGUUCGAAAACUACCCUGCUUGAGUACGGGAGAGGU